AUUCUACUCCCUCCGUUGCACAAUACAUGCCUUCUAUUUGUCAAAAUAUAUAUGUAUCUAGACAUGUUUUAGUAUAUAGGUACAUCCAUUUUUGGACAAAUGGAAGUCAAGUAUUUUGGAACGGGGGGAGUACACA
Triticum aestivum (bread wheat) is the source of this 136-nucleotide non-coding RNA. NCBI's taxonomy places the organism in Eukaryota, Viridiplantae, Streptophyta, Magnoliopsida, Poales, Poaceae. The record is from Rfam.